CCUUGAGACCCCUACGGGAGGCAGCAGUAGGGAAUCUUCGGCAAUGGACGGAAGUCUGACCGAGCAACGCCGCGUGAGUGAAGAAGGUUUUCGGAUCGUAAAGCUCUGUUGUAAGAGAAGAACGAGUGUGAGAGUGGAAAGUUCACACUGUGACGGUAUCUUACCAGAAAGGGACGGCUAACUACGUGCCAGCAGCCGCGGUAAUACGUAGGUCCCGAGCGUUAUCCGGAUUUAUUGGGCGUAAAGCGAGCGCAGGCGGUUAGAUAAGUCUGAAGUUAAAGGCUGUGGCUUAACCAUAGUACUCGUUGGAAACUGUUUAACUUGAGUGCAAGAGGGGAGAGUGGAAUUCAAUGUGUAGCGGUGAAAUGCGUAGAUAUAUGGAGGAAAACCGGUGGCGAAAGCGGCUCUCUGGCUUGUAACUGACGCUGAGGCUCGAAAGCGUGGGGAGCAAACAGGAUUAGAUACCCCGGUAGUCCAGAAGUG
This 483-nucleotide ribosomal RNA is filed under the name uncultured bacterium. Its description in RNAcentral is "bacterial SSU rRNA". It matches the Rfam family "Bacterial small subunit ribosomal RNA", at positions 328 to 804 of the family's 1533-position model. The record is from RNAcentral.